This 284-nucleotide ribosomal RNA is filed under the name uncultured bacterium. Its description in RNAcentral is "partial 16S ribosomal RNA". It matches the Rfam family "Bacterial small subunit ribosomal RNA", at positions 338 to 639 of the family's 1533-position model. The record is from RNAcentral.
CCUACGGGAGGCAGCAGUGGGGGAUAUUGCACAAUGGGGGGAACCCUGAUGCAGCGACGCCGCGUGGGUGAAGAAGCGCCUCGGCGCGUAAAGCCCUGUCAGCAGGGAAGAAAAUGACGGUACCUGAAGAAGAAGCCCCGGCUAACUACGUGCCAGCAGCCGCGGUAAUACGUAGGGGGCAAGCGUUAUCCGGAUUUACUGGGUGUAAAGGGGGCGUAGGCGGUCCUGCAAGUCUGGAGUGAAACGCAUGAGCUCAACUCAUGCAUGGCUUUGGAAACUGGAGG